This 492-nucleotide ribosomal RNA is filed under the name uncultured bacterium. Its description in RNAcentral is "partial 16S ribosomal RNA". It matches the Rfam family "Bacterial small subunit ribosomal RNA", at positions 29 to 507 of the family's 1533-position model. The record is from RNAcentral.
AGUGAACGCUGGCGGUAGGCCUAACACAUGCAAGUCGAACGGCAGCACAGUAAGAGCUUGCUCUUACGGGUGGCGAGUGGCGGACGGGUGAGGAAUACAUCGGAAUCUACUUUUUCGUGGGGGAUAACGUAGGGAAACUUACGCUAAUACCGCAUACGACCUACGGGUGAAAGCAGGGGAUCUUCGGACCUUGCGCGAUUGAAUGAGCCGAUGUCGGAUUAGCUAGUUGGCGGGGUAAAGGCCCACCAAGGCGACGAUCCGUAGCUGGUCUGAGAGGAUGAUCGGCCACACUGGAACUGAGACACGGUCCAGACUCCUACGGGAGGCAGCAGUGGGGAAUAUUGGACAAUGGGCGCAAGCCUGAUCCAGCCAUACCGCGUGGGUGAAGAAGGCCUUCGGGUUGUAAAGCCCUUUUGUUGGGAAAGAAAAGCAGCAGGUGAAUACCCCGCUGUUCUGACGGUACCCAAAGAAUAAGCACCGGCUAACUUCGUG